UUGGUGAGGUAACGGCUCACCAAGCCGAAGACGGGUAGCGGGUGUGAGAGCAUGACCCGCCGCAUCGGGACUGAGACACUGCCCGGACUCCUACGGGAGGCUGCAGUAACGAAUAUUCCGCAAUGCGCGAAAGCGUGACGGAGCAAUGCCGCGUGUGGGAUGAAGGCGCUCUGCGUCGUAAACCACUGUCAGGUCCUAGAACCAACGAUCAGGACCAGAGGAAGGGCCGGCUAAACUCGUGCCAGCAGCCGCGGUAAGACGAGUGGCCCAAGCGUUAAUCGGAAUCACUGGGCUUGAAGCGUGCGCAGGCGGACCUUUAGGCAUCCCGUGAAAUGCCCCAGCUCAACUGGGGAAUUGCGGGGUGAACCAUUGGUCUUGAGGCAGGUAGGGGGGUGCAGAACUGUCGGUGGAGCGGUGAAAUGCGUAGAUAUCGACAGGAAUGCCGAAGGCGAAGGCGGCACCCUGGGCCUGUCCUGACGCUCAUGCACGAAAGCGUGGGGAGCAAACAGGAUUAGAUACCCU
This 522-nucleotide ribosomal RNA is filed under the name uncultured alveolate. RNAcentral describes it as "partial Bacterial small subunit ribosomal RNA". It matches the Rfam family "Bacterial small subunit ribosomal RNA", at positions 249 to 788 of the family's 1533-position model. The record is from RNAcentral.